Molecule: transfer RNA, 90 nt
Filed under: Candidatus Saccharimonadota bacterium
Lineage: Bacteria; Candidatus Saccharimonadota
Also listed under: 1 other name
Description: tRNA-Ser
Rfam family: tRNA
About the family: Transfer RNA (tRNA) molecules are approximately 80 nucleotides in length. Their secondary structure includes four short double-helical elements and three loops (D, anti-codon, and T loops). Further hydrogen bonds mediate the characteristic L-shaped molecular structure. tRNAs have two regions of fundamental functional importance: the anti-codon, which is responsible for specific mRNA codon recognition, and the 3' end, to which the tRNAs corresponding amino acid is attached (by aminoacyl-tRNA synthetases). tRNAs cope with the degeneracy of the genetic code in two manners: having more than one tRNA (with a specific anti-codon) for a particular amino acid; and 'wobble' base-pairing, i.e. permitting non-standard base-pairing at the 3rd anti-codon position.
Source: RNAcentral
GGAGAGGUGCAGGAGUGGUUGAACUGGCUUGUCUCGAAAACAAGUGUGCAUUCACAUGUACCGAGGGUUCGAAUCCCUCCCUCUCCGCCA